ACCCGGCGUUACGUCAGAAAGUGCAGGCAGCGUCUUAGGAGCUAUUCGUAGGCGUCGUUGCCAAACCCGGUUCUUUGGGCUGCUCACGAGCUCACUGUAGCCAAUGCACUAUCCAACUGUCUUUAAAAACAGCGGCAGUAUGCGGUCACCGUUGCAGGCACAAUUACGCGCAAAAUACAACAAGAGAGCGCAGCGUGCAAACAAACAGAGUGGACUGGUUUACGCACGCAGUGUCGCUGAAAACACCAUGGCAUGAUGAGGCAGCAGAGGGUUUUCACGCGCAGGGGUUUCUGCAGCAAGUUUGUCUGUUUAAACUUUUGGUGAGCUUAAAAAAAAAAAAAAAAAAAA
Molecule: long non-coding RNA, 348 nt
Organism: Nematolebias whitei (Rio pearlfish)
Lineage: Eukaryota; Metazoa; Chordata; Actinopteri; Cyprinodontiformes; Rivulidae
Exons: 2
Source: RefSeq, a predicted model, not a curated record